UGAGGGUUGGGGGCGGGGUCCAUUGUGUUUGCCAGAACUAAUGGUAUCAUAACUCGCAUCUGUUACAUUAAAGCAGGGCCAAACUCUACACGUUGGUAUUGACACUAGCCUGACUAAUGAUUAAGCUGGUCUUGGUUUACCUAGUGCUUAACACGUCCAGUCUCCAUUUACUGCAAGGCAGUCCAUGUGACAGACCACUGAAAGUAUAACUUCCUCCUGUAUUCUGUGUGGUACAGGCAAAUAAUUAAUUAACACUUAUUAAACCAAGUGCAGAAUAUAUAUAUACACACACACACACACAGUGGAGUGCAAUUUUUCAUUCACUUGAAUUGGGGACAGUAUCUUAUCUUCACAAAACAAAAACACUGUGCAUGUGGCCAACUAAUGUACUGAUCACUACUGAGCUAAAAAUUAUGGGUGUUUUAUGCUACUCUUAUAUUUGUGUUGAAUGUAAAGCUGUUACUACUAUUCUGAGGUACAACAACAUUGAGCAGACUUUUAAUCCUUUCAGUGCAGGGCAUGUGAUUGUUGAUUAACCAUUCACCCCGCCCCUCUGUACAUACUGAACAGCUUGUCAAAGGUUGCUUCUCUGUUCAUGUCUUUUAAUUUAAGAAAAUAAUAAUAGAACACGUCAAGGCCUCACACUAUUUGGACUGAUAAACCGGUUCGCAUAUUUGUAUUUAAUGGAUCGUGCUGCAGUGACUUGUUGCAUUAACUUAUUUCCAAGCUGAAAUCUUGCUCCAAUCAACCAAAAUUGUUACUACUGUUGGUAAUUCCUUUUUCUUAACAUUGCUACUGUGGGCAGCCUUGUUUGAUUAAAUUACUUUUGAACACAUUGAAUGUGGUAUGUGCUUUUUAAAUAUCAGUCCUUUUGUUGAAAUUAACAAUGUCAAGUUUCUUUUUCUUUUAAAAGCUACAGUGUGUAGGAUUUAACGUCUUUUGUGAAAUUGCAUGUUGCAGCUGAUUAUCACUCACCUCACUCUUCCUACUCAAGCAUGUAGUAGAACCUAUGGUAGCCUGAAGUUAUCUUCAAAACUCAAAAUGGUGUGUUUUUUUUAUAUUCCAUUUCUGCCAAAUGGAAAUGUAUUCACCAAAAUCUUCCACACUGUGCCUCUCUGGGUUCUUUGACUUCCAGAGAAAUACGAAUGUGCUGACUGGUUUCAGAUUAAAAUCUAAAGUGAAUGUAGAUGUAAAUUGAGUGUGAAAUGUUUCUCUCUGUAAGUCUGAAAAACAAACAAACUGUAAUACAACAGAGAUCUUAGACAACACUGCUACAAUAAAUGUUAACUGGUUGACCUCUAAACAUGAAAUGGCUUAAUUAAUGUGGUUUGUUGAUCUACAAUGGGCUUUUAAGUGAUGAUAGAUAGCAGUUUGGGGCUCCCACUUGACUCUGGAAGUCACAAUGUGGGAACAUAGCUUAAGUGGAAGAGAAUACAUGAAUAUUUCUUGUCCCUUGACUUAAAAGCCAUCAGUUAUGGAUGAUUAGCCGACUCACAAGAAGAAUAUGCAAACAACAUCGCUUUAUGUCUCAAUGUGAACAUAGUAUGAAUUGUAUGCCUGUCAAAGGAGCCUGUGUCACUUCACUGAUGUGUCAUAUAACACAUUACUCCCAUUAGUGUCUUUAAAUUAAACUAAUAUAUUAGUUUAAAGAAACUACAAUUUGUUUUGAGCUUGCUUAAUUUCUUCUUUUGAAAUUGGAUGUGGUUUUACACACCACAGAAGUGUUUUUUGUAUGCUGAUCUAAAAAUAAAAUCCCCUUAACUCUCUUUGGGGAUUAUUAGGUCUGCCCCUCCCAUCAUGCAUAUGUUUUGUUAUGAAACAACCCAAUAUAAUUAUAAUCGAAAACCCCUUAGUUUGGUUGGAAGCAGAUCAACUGUACCAUUUCAAACCAUGUGAUGCUUCCAUCUUCUAAGCUGUUGUCUGUGGUAAUUAGUGGAAGUGCCAUCACCUGGCAGUGAAAGAGGAAGAACCUGUCUGAGGAAGGGAAGAUAAGGUCGUACAAACAUCCCUGUGAACUGAUCCUUUGUUACUAAUGGUGAGUGAGGUUUGCCAUUUUAAUUAUUGAAGCAAAACAUUAGCACAGAAAAGAAGCUCGGUAAACUAUAUCCCUUUGUCCCAACUGCAUCCAGAUGGCUUCUAGGUUUGGCCUGAGUAGAGUUGGGAGACACCAGGAGUAUUCAGACUCCUCUCGGCUCAGGGAUCCCAGCCCCAAUCCUCUGAAUGAGGUCUCUCACAGUGCCUCCUGGUGGGCUGACCGGGAGGAGCACAGGGAGCAGGAAGACUUACUCAGAGUGAGUUCAAAAGAGCAACUGCAAGAGAUGGACGAGCACGUGGCCAGACUCCAGGACAUGCUGAGGUGUGAGCGAAACAAAUGCAACCAUCUGCAGCUGCGUGGUAACCAGCUGCAGGCAGAGCUGAGGCGUCGAGAGCAACACAGCAACAGACUGAAGGAGCGACUGUCUCAGUUCACAGUCAGACACAAGGAGAAAGGAGCCUCCAUAGAGGUGCUGAACUGUCCACCUGCAGGCCGAGGCAAAAGAGAGCAGCCCGUCAAGUCAAUCAAGUCUGCUGCAAAACGUGAAGAAGCAGCACUACGUGUGAUGCUGGAGCGCAGAGAAGCAGAGCUCAGAGAGGCGAUGAAGCUGCGUCACAGCCUCACCACUUUGCUUCAUGCACUACGAGUCAACAUGGAACAGACCCUUUCGGACUCUGUGGAUAAGCAGGAUGAGGCACCAAAUGACGACAAAUCCUUGUAUGAAGCUGAGAUGGUGCUUGGUGACCAUGUGACAGGAGGAGUGGUUCAGAGUUGGAGGACGUUGCAAAGGAGACUGGGAGACCUCAUGUCUGAUGGUCACACUGGUGUUGGUACUGACCAUGAUAAACUCUUGGCUCAGCUAGAGACUGAGCUAAGAGAGAGUCAACAGCUUGUCAGAUUACAACAGCAACUGCUGCAGGGGAGCAUUGCCUCACCUGUCCCAUCUGAACUGGCUGAUUCAUACUUUUUGGAAGAGUGGGAACGUCUUCAGAUGCGGUGGGCAGAGUUAAAUCAUCAGAGGAGAACCUUUGAAAGGGAGAGGCAGUCCUUCACAGAUGCUGCCAUCCGACUGAGCCGUGAGCGCUGUGAUUUUGAGCAGCAGAGGGCCCAUCUCAUGAAGCAGAAGUAUUUGUGUGACUCACCUCUGUUUGGCAAAGGAGUGCCAAGCAGCAAGAGAAGAGAGAGUACUCUGAGUAAGUACUCAUGUAAAUAAAGGGUGAAAUGGUAAGAAGUCAAUGUUUUAAUGCAGUGAAAUGUUUGCACUACAAAAACCUUACAAGCAUCGUGCAUCUGACUCUAGAUUUCACAGGUUUGGGCCCCAGCAGCAUAUCUAGCUGUCUUCCCAUUACUCCAUCGUCCUCAGGGUCAGGGUCAGCUAUGCUUUCUGUAUUACAAGAGGGGAGAGUUGGACUUCCAACUCCUAGCACUCCUGAGCUCUAUGCUGCCCUCAAUCUCUCACACAGCUGCAGAUCCAGAAAGGUUGAUAAGCAGUCAGAGACAUGGCACAGCAGUACAGAAGGGAUAGAGGACCCACCACUGGCUUCACAAUUGGACUGGUCAUUUUAAUAUCAUGUUAAUCUGUUUAAAAAAUCAUAUUGUACCUUAUUUUCUCUAUUUAAAAUAAAGGCUAAAUAUAUUUUUA
Molecule: RNA transcript, 3677 nt
Organism: Solea solea (common sole)
Lineage: Eukaryota; Metazoa; Chordata; Actinopteri; Pleuronectiformes; Soleidae
Gene name: afadin- and alpha-actinin-binding protein
Exons: 11
Source: RefSeq, a predicted model, not a curated record